Molecule: ribosomal RNA, 1395 nt
Filed under: Salmonella enterica subsp. enterica serovar Oranienburg
Lineage: Bacteria; Pseudomonadati; Pseudomonadota; Gammaproteobacteria; Enterobacterales; Enterobacteriaceae
Description: partial 23S ribosomal RNA
Rfam family: Bacterial large subunit ribosomal RNA
Source: RNAcentral
AAUCCAUAGGUUAAUGAGGCGAACCGGGGGAACUGAAACAUCUAAGUACCCCGAGGAAAAGAAAUCAACCGAGAUUCCCCCAGUAGCGGCGAGCGAACGGGGAGGAGCCCAGAGCCUGAAUCAGCAUGUGUGUUAGUGGAAGCGUCUGGAAAGGCGCGCGAUACAGGGUGACAGCCCCGUACACAAAAGCGCAUGUGCUGUGAGCUCGAUGAGUAGGGCGGGACACGUGGUAUCCUGUCUGAAUAUGGGGGGACCAUCCUCCAAGGCUAAAUACUCCUGACUGACCGAUAGUGAACCAGUACCGUGAGGGAAAGGCGAAAAGAACCCCGGCGAGGGGAGUGAAAAAGAACCUGAAACCGUGUACGUACAAGCAGUGGGAGCCCCACCACUAAGCCAGUGGUGAACUCCACAUACGCAUCCUUUGCUGAGGAUACGGUUAACGGAGCGAAAGCGACGUUCAACCGCAAAAGAAGCAGAGGGGGCUUAGUGGUGGGGUGACUGCGUACCUUUUGUAUAAUGGGUCAGCGACUUAUAUUCUGUAGCAAGGUUAACCGUAUAGGGGAGCCGGAGGGAAACCGAGUCUUAAUUGGGCGUUAAGUUGCAGGGUAUAGACCCGAAACCCGGUGAUCUAGCCAUGGGCAGGUUGAAGGUUGGGUAACACUAACUGGAGGACCGAACCGACUAAUGUUGAAAAAUUAGCGGAUGACCUGUGGCUGGGGGUGAAAGGCCAAUCAAACCGGGAGAUAGCUGGUUCUCCCCGAAAGCUAUUUAGGUAGCGCCUCGUGAAUUCAUCUCCGGGGGUAGAGCACUGUUUCGGCUAGGGGGCCAUCCCGGCUUACCAACCCGAUGCAAACUGCGAAUACCGGAGAAUGUUAUCACGGGAGACACACGGCGGGUGCUAACGUCCGUCGUGAAGAGGGAAACAACCCAGACCGCCAGCUAAGGUCCCAAAGUCAUGGUUAAGUGGGAAACGAUGUGGGAAGGCCCAGACAGCCAGGAUGUUGGCUUAGAAGCAGCCAUCAUUUAAAGAAAGCGUAAUAGCUCACUGGUCGAGUCGGCCUGCGCGGAAGAUGUAACGGGGCUAAACCAUGCACCGAAGCUGCGGCAGCGACACUCAGGUGUUGUUGGGUAGGGGAGCGUUCUGUAAGCCUGUGAAGGUGGCCUGUGAGGGUUGCUGGAGGUAUCAGAAGUGCGAAUGCUGACAUAAGUAACGAUAAAGCGGGUGAAAAGCCCGCUCGCCGGAAGACCAAGGGUUCCUGUCCAACGUUAAUCGGGGCAGGGUGAGUCGACCCCUAAGGCGAGGCCGAAAGGCGUAGUCGAUGGGAAACGGGUUAAUAUUCCCGUACUUGGUGUUACUGCGAAGGGGGGACGGAGAAGGCUAUGUUGGCCGGGCGA